RNAcentral lists this long non-coding RNA (3448 nucleotides) under Homo sapiens (human). RNAcentral's name for it is "HSALNT0102765". The record is from RNAcentral. Lineage: Eukaryota; Metazoa; Chordata; Mammalia; Primates; Hominidae.
AAAUAAAUAAGUAAAUAAAUAAAUAAACAAACUUUUAAAAAUUAAAGAAGAAAGAAAGCAUUUGCCAACAUGAAUUCUACUCCAUUCUAUUAGUACAUAUUGUUUCACAGUUCUCUAAGCACAGAAGUUAGGCACUUCAGGGUUGGUGUUAACUCUUUCUCACAAAUGAUCUCAGUUUAUAGAGCCAUUUUAAACGGCCAGUUUAUUUCUAGCUGGUCCAUAAGAAAAUAACUGUCCCUCUGAAAUCCCUUAGGACAGUGGUAACCCACAUUAUAUUCAUUCAAGAAGUCAAUGAGUUUCAAUUGUCUAAAUAUUUACUGAUAGCCCACCCAGUGACAGGCACCUUUCAAGGGCAGUCUGGGACAGUUGCUGGCAGCAGAUAGUUGGUACUAAACUGAAAAUAGAGGACUUGAGGUUUGCGGCCUGGAAGCCAAAGUUUCAAGGAAUAACCAAGAGAAGCAAAUAUAAAGCAUAUGACUUACUAAUUAGCGAAUUAUCUGCAGAGACAUUCUUUUUAUUUAACAUAAUAUGUUUUCAAUGAUUUUUUUGACAAUAAACAGCAUGUAAUACAAGUGAAGUUUCAAAUAAAAAAGAACCAGAUCCAAGUUAGUUACUUAAAAUGAUAAAGCUUCCUGUUUUGAAACAGUAAACACUGAAAUUUUUUCUUGCUUACAGGAUGACUUAAAACUCAUUUUCAGGUCUGGCUCCUUAUUGCCAGACAUUUCUCUCUGCCACACCAUGUGUGUCUUGCUCUCUGUUCCAUCUGUGGCUCCCUUCCAACAAAGCCUGCCUGGUAUCUGCCUCAGAGUUCGCCCAAAAGAAACUUGGCAUCGAGAUGGUCAACAGAACUACAGGGACCUUCAGCUGGCUGCAUAGGUCAAAGAAUGGAGUCUCUGGUGCAAGAAUGGAGACUCUGGUGCGAGAAUGGAGUCUGGUGCAAGAAUAGAGUUUUUUCAUGCAUCACACACUUAGAUGUAACCUAUAAAACAUUUUAUAUGUUCCACUUUAAUAACAUAUCCAGGUAUUGAGUACAAGGAGUAUGUUUGCCACAGCUCUGACCCUUGCAUCCUAUGUCAUCUGUACAGGAUGGGGAAUGGAAGGAGCUGAGGUUCAGAAUGUGCUUGGUGUGUUACUUCGUUGGUAAUCAAAAGUAGCACAUUUACAUAUUGGCACAUCAAAAUGUUCUUUUUUGUACAUUGCUGCAGGUUAAGAAAGACACAGCAGGACCUGUGUAGAGUCAGAGAAGGGAAAAACAAGUAUAGUCUGAGAAGGAAGGACUUCCACUCCUAAAUAUAUAGCGAAAACCUACUCAUCAUCUUCUGGGUGGACAGAGCCUGGUUUGUAUCACAGGAAGGGAUAUGGGAAUCAUGAUGCUGUCACCAAAUCAGGUAUCUCACAAAGGAUGAUCAGAGGAGGUCUUUGGAAGCUGAGAGGAUAUAGAUGAAUUUUAGAGAAGAUUAAAAUCUUCUCUCUACACAAUGGGAAGAAGUUAGCAGAGGUCUUUUACCUGGAAGAGCUGCACUGGCCAGCAAUUGAAGUGACUAUGCUCCCUUGCAUGUUGAGAAGAUGCAAAGUCAAGUGGCUGGAGAAACAGAACCACAUUUGCUGAGUACCUACAGUGUGCUAGAUGUUCCCCACAUUAUCUUGUGAAUCCUCCAAAUGGUCUUGCGAUGUAGAUAUUAAUUUUCCUGUUUUUAGAGAUGAGCCAACUGGGACUCAGAGCAUUUAAGUAACUUCCUCAAAAUUCCUGUCAGUAUGUAGCAGAGUUAGAGCUCAGUCUUGGGUCUUUCUGAAGUCAAAGCUUGUUUUCUUUUUGCUAAAGUAGCAGUUUUCAGUCCCAUCAGACCCAAGGCCCCUUUUUAUAAUAAAUAUCUUGUAACGUCUUCUUUACUACCCUGAAAAAAAAUCAUUGAAAACUAGUUUCUUUUCUUUUUUUUUCUUUUUUUUUUUUUUUUUGAGAUGGAGUCUCGCUCUGUCACCCAGGCUGGACUGCAGUGGCGUGAUCUCGGCUCACUGCAACCUCUGUCUCCCAGGUUCAAGCGAUUUUUCAGCCUCAGCCUCCCAAGUAGCUGGGACUACAGGUGCGUGCCACCACACCCAGCUAGUUUUUGUUUUUUUAGUAGAUACAGGGUUUCACUAUGUUGGCCAGGCUGGUCUCAACCUCCUGACCUCAUGAUCCGCCUUCCUUGGCCUCCCAAAGUGCUUGGAUUACAGGCAUAAGCCAUCACACCGGGCCUGAAAACUAAUCUUAUGUAUAGUACUUGGGUUUUGUUUGUUCGUUUGUUUUGUUUUUGUUUUUUGAGACAGGGUCUCACUCUGUUGCCCAGACCGGAGUGUAGUGGCAGGAUCAUGGCUCACUGUAGCCUCAACUUCCUGGGCUCAAGAAAUCCUCCCACCUCAGCCUCCCAAGUAGCUGGGGCUACAGGUGCAUACCACCAUGCCUGGCUAAUUUUUAUUUUUUGUGGAAAUGGGAUUUUGCCAUGUUGUCCAGGCUGGUCUCAAACUUCUGAGCUCAAGCGAUCCUCCCACCUCGGUCUCCCAAAGUACUGGGAUUACAGGCAUGAGCCACUGCACCUGGCCUAGUACUUGCUUUUCUUAAAAAAGCAAUAAUAUCUACAUAAAAACUUGUACACAAAUGUUUAUAGUGGCAUUACUCAUAAUAGCUAAAAAGUGGAAACGCCCAAACAUUAUCAACUGGAUGAUGGAUACAUAUAGUCUAUUCAUACAGUGGAAUAUUAUUCAGCAAUAAAAAAUGAAUGAAAUAUUGAUACAUGCUACAACAUAGAAGACUCUUGAAAACAUUAUGUUGAGUGAAUGAAACCAGUCACAAAGAACAAUAUACCAUGUGGUUCAAUUUAUAUGAAAUAUCCAGAAUAGGCAGAUCCAUAGAGAUGGAAAGUAGAUUAGUGGUUGCCUAGAGCUGGGGGAUGGAGGGACUGAGGGUGAAAUCUAAGGAAAGCAGGAUUUUUUUUUUUUUUUUUUGAGACGAAGUCUCACUUUUGUCCCCCAGGCUGGAGUGCAAUGGCACGAUCUCGGCUCACUGGAACCUCUGCCUCCUGGGUUCAAGCGAUUCUCCUGCGUCAGCCUCCCAAGUAGCUGGGAUUACAGGCACCUGCCACCAAGCCCAGCUAAUUUUUGUAUUUUUAGUAGAGACAGGGUUUCACCACGUUGGCCAGGCUAGUCUUGAACUCCUGACCUCAGGUGAUCUGCCUACCUCGGUCCCCCAUAGUGCUGUGAUACAGGUGUGAGCCACCGCGCCCGGCUGACCGAGCAGGAUUUUUUUGAAGGGUGUAAUGAAAGGAUUCUAAAACUGAUUGUGGUAAUGGAUGCACAAUUGUGACUAUACUAAAAACCAUUGAGUUGUAUACUUUAAGUGGGUAAAUUGUAUGGUGUGUGAAUUAUAUCUCAAUAAAGUACUUUUUAAAAAGCAAUAAAAUAAUGUCUUGGC